Molecule: transfer RNA, 72 nt
Organism: Piromyces finnis
Lineage: Eukaryota; Fungi; Neocallimastigomycota; Neocallimastigomycetes; Neocallimastigales; Neocallimastigaceae
Rfam family: tRNA
About the family: Transfer RNA (tRNA) molecules are approximately 80 nucleotides in length. Their secondary structure includes four short double-helical elements and three loops (D, anti-codon, and T loops).
Source: Rfam
GCCAGCUUGGCUUAGUGGUAGAGCGUCGCUCUUGUAAAGCGAAGGUCGGUGGUUCAAUUCCGUCAGUUGGCA